RNAcentral lists this ribosomal RNA (253 nucleotides) under uncultured bacterium. RNAcentral describes it as "partial 16S ribosomal RNA". It matches the Rfam family "Bacterial small subunit ribosomal RNA", at positions 524 to 776 of the family's 1533-position model. The record is from RNAcentral.
GACAGAGGGUGCAAACGUUGUUCGGAAUUACUGGGCGUAAAGGGCGCGUAGGCGGCGACUCAAGUUAGAUGUGAAAGUCCUGGGCUUAACCUGGGGACUGCAUUUGAUACUGGGUUGCUUGAAUUCGGGAGAGGAUAGCGGAAUUCCCAGUGUAGAGGUGAAAUUCGUAGAUAUUGGGAAGAACACCGGUGGCGAAGGCGGCUAUCUGGACCGACAUUGACGCUGAGGCGCGAAAGCGUGGGGAGCAAACAGG